Molecule: long non-coding RNA, 3276 nt
Organism: Diospyros lotus (date-plum)
Lineage: Eukaryota; Viridiplantae; Streptophyta; Magnoliopsida; Ericales; Ebenaceae
Exons: 3
Source: RefSeq, a predicted model, not a curated record
UUGGGGCGGCGCAGAGUUAAACCGCAGAAAUGAGCGUUCCCGCCAAGUGGCAUCGACGAUGAGUCAAUGACUACUACUGGCCGUCGUCGCCUUCGACCGGUCGCUCCCUCUUCUCCGUGGACCUAUUCACGACGGCGAAGGUCAAUGGGCCCUCGAACUCAGUGACGCCGAUUCCUUGGCCUCGGCAUACAAAGCUUGCGGAUCCACACUCGUCCAGUAAUCCGAGGCUGGCGAGUGAAAUCGGCUGCGCCGUUAGCUUCUUCGGCAGGUUCAAGCCGCUCUGGUGGCAUCCCCCCUCGGUCGGCCUCAAACCGACGGAGGAGAAUGCGAAGAUCGAGAAAUGGCGCUGUCUCGAGGCUUACAGAGCCAAUUGCUCGAAAUUUGCCACGGACAAGAGUCGGCCCGUGUUGAGCGUCUCGCGAAUCGCUAUCAAUCAUGGGAAGGUGAACUGGGAAGAGGCGUCCACGUUAAUCUGUUGGGCGUCGUCUCCAUUGAGGAGAUUAAGGUUUUGUUUUAUAGGAUUGGACCAUUUGGGCGCCAGGUUAAAGAUCGGCUCCGAGUGACAAACUUUAGAGGGUUUGAAUUGAUAAGCACUUCCACUCGAGAUAGAGAAUUCUCGAAGGCGGAAGUAGUUGAUUUCAGCGACAACGGAGUAUAUAGGUUCUAAUUUCAGCCCAUUCUUUAAGAGUCCAUCCGUCCAACUUCUUGGUGAAGGUUCUAUAUUUCUGAUAUGAACUUUUGGUGUUUACAUGAAUAAUAUAGGUAAUAAAUUUCAGCUAAUUUUUCAACUUGUUCUAUAAAGCAUAUAUAUAUAUAUAUGUGCGUGUGUGCAUAAACUUGAACUUAAAAGCCUUUCUAUUUGACGUUUACUUCCACUGUUGCUGGCAUUGUUACCUUCACAGCCAUAUCCACUUUCCUCAUUUGAUCUAUGUUUGCUGCCAGUGCAGUCCUGUUUGCUGCAUUACUUGAUCAUCUACUUGAAUCUCUAAAACCGGAUUACCUAUAGCAUUUUUGCCAGUGCAGUCCGGGUGCUUCUUACCAUCCGCCUUCCUAGAAUUUGUUUAUGAUUGUGAUUAAUUCUUGUGUUUUUAUAAGGGUAAGGGGCAGAGACAUCUUAUUACACAGCUUGCCAGGAUUUACUGUGAUGAUUACGAUUGGUCCUUGUAUUCUUGUAGGACCAAAGUGGCAGAAGGUGUUGAUUUUAAUAGACACCAUGGAAGACUUCUUGUCAAGUUUGGAGUUCCUUUUCAGUAUACGUUAAGCAGUAUGGUUCACAUGCUGUGGGUCCAACUGGUUGUGGGGCGAAGAAACUGUACUACUGUAUGAUGGUCAUUGUAAAUUGCAUCUCACCCCUGCCAUUAAGGAACUGAAACUGUGCAUGUGGUGACUCUGAGUAAAGUUUGUAAAACAUGCAAUUUAAUUCCUUGGUGUUCUGAUGAGCGAUGACCAAUCUCUUACAAUUUGUUCCGGUACAGUCGUCAGGGCAGACAUUCAAAUAAGUUGCUGGAUCCUCAUCUAAGCUUAAAGUACCAAAAUGGCUGCACUUGUAGGACAGGAGGUGUGUCUUCUCUACCAUUCAAUUUAAACAUUUUUGCUCUGUGAAUGCCUGCAAGUAUAUUUAGGGAGCAGUGGUAAAUAGCAAGAGGAUGUGAAAGGUUUUCGGAUAGGGUCUACUGGGCUAAACUAAAUAAUGACCAACUUGGAAAAGUCUAUUAUGUGGAAUUUCCUGUCAAUCAAACGAGUAUGUGAACAGUGAAUUCGAGACCAAUAGGCCGAAGAAAACUAGAUAAGAUGGGCCAACCAGGAGCCAGGACUAGUGCAUAUAAGGAUUUCAUGGGCCUCCUUCCAGUUAGUAAUUGCUUGGAAAUGGAAGCUGAAGCUCUAUGGGUCAACCCUUACGUUAUUGCCUGGUCUCUGUUCAGCUCCACCCCUUUCCCGUGUAGAUAUUUUCUCAUCCAUUUAUCUUAACUAACAGACGCAGAGAGAAAGAGAGAGAGGGGCUGUAGGUGUGGGUAAUUGUUGACCUCUGGAGAUGAUAACCUGAUGCAACAGCUAAUGAUGCUGUCUGCCAGUAGGGCCGUUACUACCUGACUUAUCGGCCCAAAUUUAGCCAAUCAAAUCGAAUCAAAUAAAAAAUUAUAGAUUUGAAAUAUGAGUUAAUUCCAUCAAUGAUAAUCCUAACUUUACAUUUUAUUAUUAUUUGGUCAUUAAAUUUUGAAAUGUUACCUGUUAGUUAGUGAUAUUUCAAAACGAUUACUUCUUAGUCACUGAACUUUGAAAUAUUACUUAUUAGUCACUGAUAUUUCAAAAUUGUUACUGUUUAGCUACUGAAUUUUAAAAUGUUACCUAUUAGUCCUUGAUAUUUCAAAACUGUUAAACUGAACUUUAAAAUAUUACCUAUUAGUCACUAAUAUUUCAAAACUGUUCCUCAUUCGUCACUCAUGAAUUUAAAGUUAAGUGACUAUCGAGUGAAGGGUGAAAAACGAUUUUAAAAUAUCAAUGACUAGCAGGUAAUAUUUUAAAAUUCAGUGAUUAAGCAGCAACAGUUUUGAAAUGUUAGUAAUUAAUAGGUAACAUUUUAAAGUUCGGUGACUAAGUAGUAACAAUUUUGAAAUAUCAGUGACUAACAAGUAACAUUUCAAAAUUCAGUGACUAAGCAGUAAUCGUUUUGAAAUAUCAGUGACUAACAGGUAACAUUUCAAAGUUUAGUGACCAAACAGUAAUAAAAUGCAAAGUUGAGUUAUUAUUGGUAUAAUUAACCCUUUGAAAUAUGGUUGGUUGGAUUCGAUUAAAAAAAAAAAGAGUCUAAUCGAUAGGAUUAGUUUGGUUUGUAGGUAUAGUAUUUCAAACUAGUUAAUCGGAUCAAUCCAAACCUAUGUACAUGUAAAAUUAUGUCAUUUAAGUUGCAAAUAUAUAUAUAUAUAUAUAUAUUGGACUUGUUGUUAGUUAAUUUUUGUUUAUUGGUUCAAUUUGGAGUUGUAAUUUUGAUUUUUUUAACUUUGUUGUUUGUUGGUUUGAUUGGACUUGUAAUUUAGAUUUGUAAGUUUGUAUUCUGUUUGUUAGUUAUUAGUUUAGUUGAAUGUUUAAUUUUAUAUUUGUAGUUAGACAUAAUUAUUAUUGUAUGUUGUAUGGUUGAUUUAAAUCUAUUAAAUUAUUUAUGGUUGAUUUAAAUGUAUUAAAUUUAAAUUGAUUUGACUUUUUGGAUUAAAAUCUCUUUAAUUAGUUUAAAAAAAUUCAAUCCAAUAACACAAAACUGAUAAAUGGAAACAAGAAUGG